This 482-nucleotide ribosomal RNA is filed under the name uncultured bacterium. Its description in RNAcentral is "SSU rRNA". It matches the Rfam family "Bacterial small subunit ribosomal RNA", at positions 26 to 518 of the family's 1533-position model. The record is from RNAcentral.
AGGACGAACGCUGGCGGCGUGCCUAAUACAUGCAAGUCGAACGAGGUCCACCCGGUGGCAACACCGGUGAAGACCUAGUGGCGAACGGGUGAGUAACACGUGAGGAACCUGCCCCGAAGACCGGGAUAACUCUCCGAAAGGAGUGCUAAUACCGGAUACCCCCAGAAGAUCGCAUGGUCUUUUGAGGAAAUGGAUUCCGCUUCGGGAGGGCCUCGCGGCCUAUCAGCUUGUUGGUGAGGUAACGGCUCACCAAGGCAUCGACGGGUAGCUGGUCUGAGAGGACGAUCAGCCACACUGGGACUGAGACACGGCCCAGACUCCUACGGGAGGCAGCAGUAGGGAAUCUUGCGCAAUGGGCGAAAGCCUGACGCAGCAACGCCGCGUGGGGGAUGAAGGCUCUCGGGUUGUAAACCCCUUUCAGUAGGGACGAAAUCAGACGGUACCUACAGAAGAAGCCCGGCCAACUACGUGCCAGCAGCCGC